UACAGAGGGAGCAAGCGUUAUCCGGAAUGAUUGGGCGUAAAGCGUCUGUAGGUGGUUUUUUAAGUCUAGUGUUGAAUACCCCUGGCUCAACCUGCGGAAUGGCAUUGAGAAUACUAAUACACUAGAAGAUGGGUAGAGGUGAAGGGAAUCCCUAGGGUAACAGUGAAAUGUGUAGAUAUUAGGAGAGAACACCAGCGGCGAAGGCGCUUUACUGGGCCCCAACUGACACUGAGAGACGAAAGCUAGACCAGCGAAUAGGAUUAGAUACCCGAGUAGCUCUAGCUGAAAACGAUGGAAACUAAUAGGGGGUAUACCCCCUUCUGUAGGUAACGCGUUAAGUUUCCCGCCUGCCGAGUGUGCUCGCAAGACUGAAACUCAAAGGAAUUGACGGGAGUCCACACAAUAGGUGGAUUAUGCAGUUUAAUUUGAUGCUCCGCAGAGAACCUUACAAGGGAUUGACAUGUGUCGUAUUUUUCAAAACUGCGAAAGUGUCUCCCCUUUCUUAAAGGAAGAAACGAGAACACAGGGGGUGCAUGGCUGUCGUCAGCUCGUGCGUUGACGUGUAUGGUUAAGUCCUGCAACGAGCGCAACCUUGGUCUUAAGGUAUUGUUCAAGCUCUCUAAAGAGACUGCGCGCGCCAACGCGAAGAAGGUGAGGAAGGCGUCAAGUCAGCCAGGGCCUUAUACUCCAGGCGACCCCCGUAAUACAAUGGGUGAGACAAUAAGAAAGUCAACCGCAAGGGCAAAGCAGUCUGCUGAAAUCAAGUCUAAUUUGGAAUGUCGGUUGCAACUUGGAUACAAGAAACUGGAAUUUAUUGUAAUCCCCAGUCAACCAUAUGGCGGUGAAUACGUUCCUGGACUU
This 861-nucleotide ribosomal RNA is filed under the name uncultured bacterium. Its description in RNAcentral is "bacterial SSU rRNA". It matches the Rfam family "Bacterial small subunit ribosomal RNA", at positions 524 to 1381 of the family's 1533-position model. The record is from RNAcentral.